RNAcentral lists this ribosomal RNA (876 nucleotides) under uncultured soil bacterium. Its description in RNAcentral is "bacterial SSU rRNA". It matches the Rfam family "Bacterial small subunit ribosomal RNA", at positions 56 to 948 of the family's 1533-position model. The record is from RNAcentral.
UGCAGUCGAACGAGAAAGUGAGAACAAUCCAUGAGUAAAGUGGCGACCGGGUGAGUAACACGUGACUAACCUACCCUAGAGUGGGGAAUAACCUCGGGAAACCGGGGCUAAUACCGCAUAACAUCGUCGGGGGAAGAUCCUGAUGAUCAAAGGAGCAAUUCGCUCAAGGAGGGGGUCGCGGCUGAUUAGUUAGUUGGUGAGGUAACGGCCCACCAAGACAGAGAUCAGUAGCCGGCCUGAGAGGGCGCACGGCCACACUGGAACUGAAACACGGUCCAGACUCCUACGGGAGGCAGCAGUGGGGAAUUUUGCGCAAUGGGGGAAACCCUGACGCAGCAACGCCGCGUGGAGGAUGAAGUCCCUUGGGAUGUAAACUCCUUUCGAUCGGGACGAUAAUGACGGUACCGGAAGAAGAAGCACCGGCUAACUCUGUGCCAGCAGCCGCGGUAAUACAGAGGGUGCAAGCGUUGUUCGGAAUUAUUGGGCGUAAAGGGUGCGUAGGCGGUGCGGUAAGUCUGUAGUGAAAUCUCUGGGCUCAACUCAGAGUCUGCUAUAGAAACUGCCGUGCUCGAGUAUGGGAGAGGUGAGUGGAAAUCCCGGUGUAGCGGUGAAAUGCGUAGAUAUCGGGAGGAACACCUGUGGCGAAAGCGGCUCACUGGACCAUAACUGACGCUGAUGCACGAAAGCUAGGGGAGCAAACAGGAUUAGAUACCCUGGUAGUCCUAGCCCUAAACGAUGAUUGCUUGGUGUGUCGGGUACCCAAUCCCGCCGUGCCGAAGCUAACGCGAUAAGCAAUCCGCCUGGGGAGUACGGUCGCAAGACUGAAACUCAAAGGAAUUGACGGGGGCCCGCACAAGCGGUGGAGCAUGUGGUUCA